RNAcentral lists this transfer RNA (67 nucleotides) under Capra pyrenaica (Spanish ibex). RNAcentral's name for it is "tRNA-Lys". Lineage: Eukaryota; Metazoa; Chordata; Mammalia; Artiodactyla; Bovidae. The record is from RNAcentral.
CAUCAAGAAGCUAUAUAGCGUUAACCUUUUAAGUUAAAGACUGAGAACAUAACACUCUCCUUGAUGA